Molecule: ribosomal RNA, 898 nt
Filed under: Flavomyces fulophazii
Lineage: Eukaryota; Fungi; Ascomycota; Dothideomycetes; Pleosporales; Periconiaceae
Description: eukaryotic LSU rRNA
Rfam family: Eukaryotic large subunit ribosomal RNA
Source: RNAcentral
GCAUAUCAAUAAGCGGAGGAAAAGAAACCAACAGGGAUUGCCCCAGUAACGGCGAGUGAAGCGGCAACAGCUCAAAUUUGAAAUCUGGCUCCCUCGGGGCCCGAGUUGUAAUUUGCAGAGGGUGCUUUGGCGUCGGCGGCGGUCUAAGUUCCUUGGAACAGGACAUCGCAGAGGGUGAGAAUCCCGUAUGUGGUCGCAUGCCUUCGCCGUGUAAAGCCCCUUCGACGAGUCGAGUUGUUUGGGAAUGCAGCUCUAAAUGGGAGGUAAAUUUCUUCUAAAGCUAAAUACCGGCCAGAGACCGAUAGCGCACAAGUAGAGUGAUCGAAAGAUGAAAAGCACUUUGGAAAGAGAGUCAAACAGCACGUGAAAUUGUUGAAAGGGAAGCGCUUGCAGCCAGACUUGCCUGUAGUUGCUCACCCGGGCUCCUGCCCGGGGCACUCUUCUGCAGGCAGGCCAGCAUCAGUUUGGGCGGUCGGAUAAAGGCCUCUGACACGUACUUCCUCUCGGGGAUGACAUAUAGGGGAGGCGCAAUGCGACCAGCCCGGACUGAGGUCCGCGCAUCUGCUAGGAUGCUGGCGUAAUGGCUGUAAGCGGCCCGUCUUGAAACACGGACCAAGGAGUCUAACAUCUAUGCGAGUGUUUGGGUGUCAAGCCCGGGCGCGCAAUGAAAGUGAACGGAGGUGGGAACCCCUCGGGGCGCACCAUCGACCGAUCCUGAUGUCUUCGGAUGGAUUUGAGUAAGAGCAUAGCUGUUGGGACCCGAAAGAUGGUGAACUAUGCUUGAAUAGGGUGAAGCCAGAGGAAACUCUGGUGGAGGCUCGCAGCGGUUCUGACGUGCAAAUCGAUCGUCAAAUUUGGGCAUAGGGGCGAAAGACUAAUCGAACUAUCUAGUAGCUGG